Molecule: ribosomal RNA, 1360 nt
Filed under: metagenome
Description: bacterial LSU rRNA
Rfam family: Bacterial large subunit ribosomal RNA
Source: RNAcentral
AGGAUGGCAGGCAAAUCCACCGUCCGAGCUGAACUUGAUAGUAUGGAGUCUUCUUCGGAAGAAUCCAAUAGUGUGGGUAAUCAUACUCCCGAGAAAAUCCGCUAAGCUUAACCCAUGCGGCACCCGUACCGCAAACGGACACACGUGGUCGGGUAGAACAUACUGAGGCGUUGAGAGAUUCAUGGUUAAGGAACUAGGCAAAUUGACCCUGUAACUUCGGGAUAAAGGGUCCUCGUGAAGAGCGAGGCGCAGAGAAUAGGUCCAGGCAACUGUUUAACAAAAACACAGGGCUGUGCAAACUCGAAAGAUGACGUAUACAGCCUGACACCUGCCCGGUGCCGGAAGGUUAAGAGGAGAUGUCACACUUAUGUGGAAGCAUUGAAUUGAAGCCCCGGUAAACGGCGGCCGUAACGAUAACGGUCCUAAGGUAGCGAAAUUCCUUGUCGGGUAAGUUCCGACCUGCACGAAUGGUGUAAUGAUCCGGACGCUGUCUCAACCAUGAGCUCAGUGAAAUUGUAGUAUCGGUGAAGAUGCCGAUUACCCGCGAUGGGACGAAAAGACCCCGUGAACCUUUACUACAGCUUAGCAUUGACCUUGGUCAUCCGAUGUGUAGGAUAGGCCGGAGGCUUCGAAGCGGGAGCGCCAGCUUUCGUGGAGCCAUCCUUGAAAUACGGCCCUUUGGCUGUCUGAGGUCUAACGCGCGAUGCGCGGACACUGCUUGGUGGGUAGUUUGACUGGGGUGGUCGCCUCCAAAAGCGUAACGGAGGCUUCCAAAGGUGCCCUCGGGUCGAUUGGUAACCGGCCUCAAAGAGUGCAAUGGCAUAAGGGCGCUUGACUGGGAGGCAGACAUGCCGAGCAGGCAGGAAACUGGGGCAUAGUGAUCCGGCGGAUGUGUAUGGAAACUCCGUCGCUCAAAGGAUAAAAGGUACUCCGGGGAUAACAGGCUGAUCCCCCCCAAGAGCUCAUAUCGACGGGGUGGUUUGGCACCUCGAUGUCGGCCCGUCACAUCCUGGGGCUGGAGAAGGUCCCAAGGGUUGGGCUGUUCGCCCAUUAAAGUGGCACGCGAGCUGGGUUCAGAACGUCGUGAGACAGUUCGGUCUCUAUCUAUCGUGGGCGUGGGAGUUUUGCGUGGUGCCGUCACUAGUACGAGAGGACCGUGAUGGACAGACCUCCGGUUUACCAGUUGUGCCGCCAGGCGCACCGCUGGGUAUCUGAGUCUGGAUUGGAUAAGCGCUGAAAGCAUCUAAGUGCGAAGCCAGCCGCAAGAUGAGAACUCCAUUGAGGGUCGUCAGAGACGAUGACGUUGAUAGGAUGCCGGUGUAAAGACAGCGAUGUCAAAGCCGAGCAUUACUAAUUGCCC